CCCGGAGGCGCUGGGGCUGCCCUGGGCCGUCACGUGCGAGAAAUCGUCUCACCCCAGCCAGUGUGAGGGAGUGAGAGCAAAAGAAAGUUUUGAUAGCAGCGUACGAUUUAUAUUCAGCUGUAUGCUGGACAGGUCCAACUUGGCAUUUCUUGGCUGUAUCUCUGAAGGAAAGUCAUCUUAAUCUCUAUGAGCCUCCAUUUCCUCAGCUGUAAAAUGGGAAGAUCUUCCUCACACUGCUGUGAGGAAGCGGAUUUUCUGACGCAUAUGAAGAGUGAGAACUGUCUACAUCUAAGUCUUCUUUGAGAACAAUACCAGCUGAGCGGCUAUUUACAUUCCAGCUUCUUUUGAGAAUCUCUGAAGAUGAUUAAGUCAUUGUCAGCUGGUAAGGGUUGGUCUCACCACUUCUCAUGUUGGAUCAUUGAGGCAAG
Molecule: long non-coding RNA, 428 nt
Filed under: Pan troglodytes (chimpanzee)
Lineage: Eukaryota; Metazoa; Chordata; Mammalia; Primates; Hominidae
Description: long non-coding RNA NONPTRT005290
Source: RNAcentral